AGUGAACGCUGGCGGCAGGCCUAACACAUGCAAGUCGAACGGUAACACACUUUGAGCUUCUUACUAGGGGUGGCGAGUGGCGGAAGGGUGCGGAAUAUAUCGGAAUCUAUUUUUUAGUGGAGGAUAUCGUAGGGUAACUUCUGCUAUUACCUCAUAAGACCUACGGGUGAAAGAAGGGCAAUUUUGGACCUUGCGCGCUUGAAUGAGCCGAUGUCGGAUUAGCUAGUUGGUGGGGUAAAGGCCUACCAAGGCGACGAUCCGUAGCUGGUCUGAGAGGAGGACCAGCCACACUGGAACUGAGACACGGCCCAGACUCCUACGGGAGGCAGCAGUGGGGAAUUUUGGACAAUGGGCGCAAGCCUGAUCCAGCAAUGCCGCGUGGGGGAAGAAGGCCUUCGGGUUGUAAACCCCUUUUGGAGGGAAAGAAAAGGUGCAGGUUAAUACCCGGCUGUACUGACGGUACCUAAAGAAUAAGCACCGGCUAACUACGUG
RNAcentral lists this ribosomal RNA (492 nucleotides) under uncultured bacterium. Its description in RNAcentral is "partial 16S ribosomal RNA". It matches the Rfam family "Bacterial small subunit ribosomal RNA", at positions 29 to 507 of the family's 1533-position model. The record is from RNAcentral.